Gallus gallus (chicken) is the source of this 2834-nucleotide long non-coding RNA. The record is from Ensembl. NCBI's taxonomy places the organism in Eukaryota, Metazoa, Chordata, Aves, Galliformes, Phasianidae.
GGAGCUUUCUACUGAGCCACGUAGAAUUCAUUUCCCUCUGUCACAGGGCUUGCAGGGCAGCAUAGGUCUGGAAGUCACGUGCUGAGCAUUGCCAGGGUCCUGCUUUUUUAGCAGAGUUGUGAUUCAGUCUGAAAGCCUUUAAAGCUGCAUGGGAUUCCAUGCUGCUGCUGUGGGUGUGUUGUGAUGGGAUGUUGCAGGCGAAGGGCCUUUCACGUGGUGUUGCUCACGUGUUGUUUGUCUGCAGACACCACCUAAGGAUGGAAAUGACUCCAGGGAGGGCUUUGCUGUGUGGGCUGAAAGCUGGGCUGAGUGAGUGUGUGAAAUGAGGGCACAGUGCGGCUUGGGCAAGCCAGUGCAGUGCCCUCCUGAACCCGCAGCGUUGUGGGCCUGUUAGGUGGCACGAGGCCUGCAUAGCAAUAGAAACGAUCUUCAGCAGCAGCCGGUGGGUGCCAGGCUCUUUUAAUGUGACUUCUUCUGACCUUUCCAGUGCAAGCCCUUGAUCAAAAUGUGCAUUUGUGCGUUGGGCCAUCAGUAAAGCCAGAAUUCCCUGCUUGCCCUGAGGCGAUGCUGUGCUGUCCCGGUCACCCUCCAGCUCUGUACCAAAUGCUGAACUCCCAUUGUCCUGAGGGCUGCACGGCAAAGCCCAGAGCUCUCUUGAUGCCAACAGCGAGUGAAGAAAGCCUCAUUGGCCUGGUGCUCCCAUCCAGCAAUGGGAACUCCUGGAGGGCUGGUGUCCCUGCAGGCUUAGCUGGGAACAGGUCUCGAUCUGUCAGGCUGCUGUUAGGCAGCUGCGUAUCUUGGCUCUCUCCUCUACAGACCACUGUAAAGUAAUGCAUCCCUAUGAAGCACUUACUGUGGUGACGCCAAGUCAAGAAAUUAGGUUUUGCAUUUUGGCUUAAAUCCUGCAAGCAGUUGUGUGAGUAACUCGGGCAUGUAGGCAGCCACGGGGAGCUCAGUGCGGAGUGUGCAGUCCCAUGCUUGUGCUCUGGGGCUCAGGUAAGGGCAGCAGUCAGUGCUGUGCUGGGGAUUUCAGCUGAGGGGGUGGACGUUUCCUAUGCUUCCCACUUUGAGCAACAGAGAUACAGUCCUCUGGAUGGACCUAUUGGAGUGUGCUCAGAGGAGGGCUGCAAAAAUGAUCCAGGGGAUGGAGCACCUCCCCUACGAGGACAGUCUGAGAGCUGGGGCUGUUCGGCCUGGAGGAGAGAAGCUCCAGGGAGACCUGAGAGCGGCCUUUCGGUACCUGAGGGGGGCUGUAAGAAGGAAGGGGACAGAUUCUGCAGCAGGGUCUGUUGCGACAGGACCAGGGGAAAUGGUUUCAAACUAAAAGAGGGAAGAUUUACACUGGAUGUAAGGAAGCAGUUUUUUUACAGUAAGGGUGGUAGGUGAACAGGGUGCCCAGAGAGGUGGUGGCUGUCCUGUGGAGAUACUCAAAAGUCAGGCUGGAUGGGGCUCUGAGCACCUGAUCUAGCUGUAGGUGUCUCUGCUCAUUGCAGGGGGUUGGACUACAUGGCCUUAAAAGGUCCCUUCCAACUCAGGUGAUUCCAUGAUUCUAAGCAGAUGGCAGCUGAGAUCCCACAGAGGACCAGGCUGUCCAGUCAAAUGUCCAGCUUUUUCUCUCUUGCUGUUCCUCUUUUUUCUUGCUGAUCUCCACCCUGCUGUAUCUCUGGAAUAGUUCUUGGCUUGCUGAGAAUGCUCCGUGCUGAACGCAGCUGGGUGCUAUCACUUACGUGGGGCAUUACCAGUGCUGCCCAGCACGCUUCUCUUUGGGAUUACAGCCCUAUUAGAUGUCUGCCUUCCAUGCCCUGACAACCAUUAAGUGAGGGAAGGUUGGGGCUGGUAGAGCCGAUUCUGUUGCUGUGUUAUCUGAAUAGCACCGAACCCACCAGAUGAAGGCUGGGAAUUAGACAUAAAGUUAACAUAAAAUAGUUCAGCAUUUCACACAACACAAUUCAGAAACUGCAGUAGCCAUCACUGUGACCUUUGCUAAGGAACGUGGAGUUACGUUUCCCAUUGGUGUGAACAGCCUGCACCGCUGGGCUGGUUCUGGGGAAGCACUUGUGCUGUGAUUGUAUAACCAGUUAAUCAGGUGGUGACUCAUAGCCCUGUCCUGGGCUGGGCAGAGGGCGAUCUGUGAGCCCUGCAGGAGUGCGGCUGCCUGGUGGGAGAACCUCGUCCAAAAGAUGGAGUUUUUCAGUUUAGGGGAGCUGAGCCCCACUUGGUUUGGAGCACCCUCAAAAUAGAACAGAAACAGUGGCAAAAGGUGGAGACAAAGCAUUGAGAUCCUGAGCUGGGAAAGCCCGCUAACCUCAACUCAGCCCAAUAAAAGAGUCCCAAAGGUUUCAUGGGAGGAGAGCUGACAGCGAGAGCUUCUCUCCAGGGAGUUCUGGGUGGGGAUGACAAAGAAGGCACGCUAAUGCCUCAGAUUUCUGAGCUCUGUACAAUCUCUGCAACUAAAAUAAUAAAGCUUUUACCAUCCAGACAUCUGUGUAAAGUUUCCUUCUGCUUGCUGAUGGUGCCCACAGCUGCUGGGCUGCACUUUAUUCACUUCAGGGUACGUGGAACAUAUGCAAAGAAAAGCUGUUUCCUGGCUUUGCGAUAGAAGCUUUCAGAUCCAACUUGAUUUUGCUUAACGCCAUCAGAGAGCAAAUAAACCACCCCUAUGGAUGGAUACAGGCUUUGCCAUGAUCGCACUGUCACUAAAACGGGUUUGUUGGGAAUCGUCUGUAAAUGGGCAGUAAUUGGAACCCCUCUUACUCUGCUCAUGACGUGGUGCAGGCGUGUGCUGGAGGCGACGUGAGGCUCCCACUGAAUGCAGCUGCUGCAGAGACUCUCAU